RNAcentral lists this long non-coding RNA (212 nucleotides) under Mytilus galloprovincialis (Mediterranean mussel). The record is from RNAcentral. Lineage: Eukaryota; Metazoa; Mollusca; Bivalvia; Mytilida; Mytilidae.
AAGAAAGGAUCAUUUUCAUAACUUUUGAAACAGUUCAAUAUUAAAUGGUGACAUAUCGUAUUUCAUGAAUGGUCUAAUCAUCAACAUUAUUUUUCAAAAACGCUCAAACUUUUGUCUUUUGAUGAAAAAGAGCAAAAUAUAAAAUAAUUUAUUUUCAUCAAAUUAUAUAACCAUGCAGCUCUUUUGGGCGAUCAGCUUUUACGAAAUUGGCG